CUCUCAACGUGCAAGCGAGCAAUCUAGUGUCAUUAAAAGUCUUAAAGCUAAAGUUAGUAGUGUUAAUUGUGAAGAAGUUAUUAAAAAGCGGGUAGAGUGACCUAGCUUGGUCCAGCGCAUCUGAAACACUACAAAAUAAGUUGAAGUUAGAAGCAAGAAAAAGGUAACGAUAUGCACAUUUAUAGAUUAUUUAGUCUAAAAUGAUCUAGAACUAAUUCCUAAAUACUAAUUAAAAAUGCGGUUUUGGAGAAAAUGCGGUAAUGCGUGAAGUGUGACUAAUUAGUGUGGUAGGUCCACAAAGGGGCCUUUUUCUUUGUAAUUAGCAGCUUUCUUCGGAGGAGGAACGCCAUCUUUAUUCCCUCAGAACAAAGGCAAGUCUUGGGUCCUUGGAUGCCUGACCAGAGAAGCCAUCUUGGGAUUCGGUGAAUGGUAUUGAAGUCGCGGAGCAAAACCGCCGUCGAAUAGGAAGCCGAUUUCAACCAAAGCUUCAUCCGAAGUUCCGAAGUUCCAGGUCCUCAAUCGCCAACCACGAGUGACGUAGGAAUACCCGAUCCCCUGCUGGUCCGGUGCCCUAUCAAUGGGAAUACCAACCAAGGACGCCCCGGUACGCCAUUAGCCGUUGCAGAAUCCACCCCGACCACCUCAAGGUGCCGUUAGUCCGCGGAAAGUCCACAACGCAAGAGUAAAAACCGCAAGUAGAACUAUGUGGCGUCACGUUAUAGCUAGAUCAUAAGAAAUGGCCAUUUUACACGAAUCUUUAUG
Molecule: long non-coding RNA, 762 nt
Organism: Aedes aegypti (yellow fever mosquito)
Lineage: Eukaryota; Metazoa; Arthropoda; Insecta; Diptera; Culicidae
Exons: 3
Source: RefSeq, a predicted model, not a curated record